AAAAGUAAUUGUGGGCUUUGCUAUAGAAAGUAAAGGUAAAAACCGCAAUUACUUUUGC
Molecule: microRNA precursor, 58 nt
Organism: Macaca fascicularis (crab-eating macaque)
Lineage: Eukaryota; Metazoa; Chordata; Mammalia; Primates; Cercopithecidae
Source: Ensembl